RNAcentral lists this small RNA (29 nucleotides) under Bombyx mori (domestic silkworm). Its description in RNAcentral is "ovarian small RNA-14460". Lineage: Eukaryota; Metazoa; Arthropoda; Insecta; Lepidoptera; Bombycidae. The record is from RNAcentral.
CGGAUACAUAUACGCUAGGCGUUACAAUC